This 579-nucleotide ribosomal RNA is filed under the name Escherichia coli. Its description in RNAcentral is "partial 23S ribosomal RNA". It matches the Rfam family "Bacterial large subunit ribosomal RNA", at positions 2259 to 2833 of the family's 2925-position model. Lineage: Bacteria; Pseudomonadati; Pseudomonadota; Gammaproteobacteria; Enterobacterales; Enterobacteriaceae. The record is from RNAcentral.
UGGUGGGUAGUUUGACUGGGGCGGUCUCCUCCUAAAGAGUAACGGAGGAGCACGAAGGUUGGCUAAUCCUGGUCGGACAUCAGGAGGUUAGUGCAAUGGCAUAAGCCAGCUUGACUGCGAGCGUGACGGCGCGAGCAGGUGCGAAAGCAGGUCAUAGUGAUCCGGUGGUUCUGAAUGGAAGGGCCAUCGCUCAACGGAUAAAAGGUACUCCGGGGAUAACAGGCUGAUACCGCCCAAGAGUUCAUAUCGACGGCGGUGUUUGGCACCUCGAUGUCGGCUCAUCACAUCCUGGGGCUGAAGUAGGUCCCAAGGGUAUGGCUGUUCGCCAUUUAAAGUGGUACGCGAGCUGGGUUUAGAACGUCGUGAGACAGUUCGGUCCCUAUCUGCCGUGGGCGCUGGAGAACUGAGGGGGGCUGCUCCUAGUACGAGAGGACCGGAGUGGACGCAUCACUGGUGUUCGGGUUGUCAUGCCAAUGGCACUGCCCGGUAGCUAAAUGCGGAAGAGAUAAGUGCUGAAAGCAUCUAAGCACGAAACUUGCCCCGAGAUGAGUUCUCCCUGACUCCUUGAGAGUCCUGAAG